RNAcentral lists this ribosomal RNA (253 nucleotides) under uncultured bacterium. Its description in RNAcentral is "partial 16S ribosomal RNA". It matches the Rfam family "Bacterial small subunit ribosomal RNA", at positions 524 to 776 of the family's 1533-position model. The record is from RNAcentral.
UACGUAGGGGGCAAGCGUUGUCCGGAUUUAUUGGGCGUAAAGAGCGUGUAGGCGGCCAUGCAGGUCCGUUGUGAAAACUCGAGGCUCAACCUCGAGACGCCGAUGGAAACCGCAUGGCUAGAGUCCGGAAGAGGAGAGUGGAAUUCCUGGUGUAGCGGUGAAAUGCGCAGAUAUCAGGAAGAACACCCGUGGCUAAGGCGGCUCUCUGGGACGGUACUGACGCUGAGACGCGAAAGCGUGGGGAGCGAACAGG